RNAcentral lists this ribosomal RNA (497 nucleotides) under uncultured bacterium. RNAcentral describes it as "partial 16S ribosomal RNA". It matches the Rfam family "Bacterial small subunit ribosomal RNA", at positions 28 to 507 of the family's 1533-position model. The record is from RNAcentral.
GAUGAACGCUGGCGGCGUGCCUAAUACAUGCAAGUCGAGCGAACGGACGAGAAGCUUGCUUCUCUGAUGUUAGCGGCGGACGGGUGAGUAACACGUGGAUAACCUACCUAUAAGACUGGGAUAACUUCGGGAAACCGGAGCUAAUACCGGAUAAUAUUUUGAACCGCAUGGUUCAAAAGUGAAAGACGGUCUUGCUGCCACUUAUAGAUGGAUCCGGGCUGCAUUAGCUAGUUGGUAAGGUAACGGCUUAUCAAGGCAACGAUGCAUAGCCGACCUGAGAGGGUGAUAGGCGGCCUGGGAGCGGGGACGCGGUCAAGAGGACUAAGGGAGGCAGCAGUAGGGAACGUGCCGCAAUGGGCGAAAGCAUGACGGAGCAACGGCGCGUGAGUGAUGAAGGUGUUCGGAGCGUAAAAAUCUGUUAUUAGGGAAGAACAGAUGUGGAAGUAAAUGUGCACAGAGUGACGGUAACUAAUCAGAAAGCCACGGCUAACUACGUG